AACGAACGCUGGCGGCAGGCCUAACACAUGCAAGUCGAGCGCCCCGCAAGGGGAGCGGCGGACGGGUGAGUAACGCGUGGGAACGUGCCUCUUGCUACGGAAUAGCCUCGGGAAACUGGGAGUAAUACCGUAUGUGCCCUUCGGGGGAAAAGAUUUAUCGGCAAGAGAUCGGCCCGCGUUGGAUUAGGUAGUUGGUGGGGUAAUGGCCUACCAAGCCGACGAUCCAUAGCUGGUUUGAGAGGAUGAUCAGCCACACUGGGGCUGAGACACGGCCCAGACUCCUACGGGAGGCAGCAGUGGGGAAUCUUAGACAAUGGGCGCAAGCCUGAUCUAGCCAUGCCGCGUGAGCGAUGAAGGCCUUAGGGUUGUAAAGCUCUUUCAGGGGGGAAGAUAAUGACUGUACCCCCAGAAGAAGCCCCGGCUAACUCCGUGCCAGCAGCCGCAGUAA
This 448-nucleotide ribosomal RNA is filed under the name uncultured bacterium. Its description in RNAcentral is "partial 16S ribosomal RNA". It matches the Rfam family "Bacterial small subunit ribosomal RNA", at positions 29 to 523 of the family's 1533-position model. The record is from RNAcentral.